CCUUUUCCCAUGUGGUCGAACUCGACAGCCGAACUGUCACUCUACUUCGCACAGCAAGCCGGUUCAAAAGCCAAGUCACGCAUUAGCUACGGUUCACCAGUUCAUACCACUACAACAGGAAUAACGUCCAAUAAGCGCCUGUUCAGCCGAAGCCAACCAUACCGCGAAUCAAACAUUCCUCCAUUAAUGUCAUAGCAGACAAACCGGUCGCCGACAAGCCAUACCAACAGCCUUCACAACCAGCAACCACCUUCACAACCAGCAACAGGCUUCACAACCAGCAACAAUCCUGGAAACCAAGCCCAAUUCCACCCACAACAAUACAGUCU
RNAcentral lists this ribosomal RNA (329 nucleotides) under Peronospora variabilis. RNAcentral describes it as "partial large subunit ribosomal RNA". Lineage: Eukaryota; Oomycota; Peronosporomycetes; Peronosporales; Peronosporaceae. The record is from RNAcentral.